UGCCUUAUCAAAAGUCUUGCUAAAAAACCC
RNAcentral lists this non-coding RNA (30 nucleotides) under Mus musculus (house mouse). The record is from RNAcentral. Lineage: Eukaryota; Metazoa; Chordata; Mammalia; Rodentia; Muridae.